Molecule: long non-coding RNA, 795 nt
Organism: Homo sapiens (human)
Lineage: Eukaryota; Metazoa; Chordata; Mammalia; Primates; Hominidae
Product: long intergenic non-protein coding RNA 2096
Source: Ensembl
ACAGCGGUAACUUGGUUGGGUGUUCUUCUCUGCUGUGUAGGCUUUGUUCUUUUGCUCUUUGCAGUAAAUGUUGCUGCUGCUGACUGUUGGGUCCCAGCCGUCUUUAAAAGCUAUUACACUCACGGUGAAGGUCUGUGGUUUCACUCCUGAAAUCAAGCGAGUGUACGAACCCACCGGAAGGAAGAAACUCCAGACUCCGAAGGAACAAACUCUGGACACACCAAAUGUAAGAAUUGUAACACUCACCGCGACGGUCCGUGGCGUCCACCCUCGCAGCUUCUUUCUUGAAGUCGCCGAGACCAAGAGCGCACCGAAAGGAACCAAUUGUGGACACAUCCGUUUUGUUAAUUUCCCUUGGAAAAGUAUUGAUGAUCAAGUGAUGCUAGCAGCAACAGUGUUAAAGGCUUUAACGCUUUUAAAGGUGAGACUUUUGGGAGUUGAUUAGGUCAUGAGGAUGGAGCCUGGUGAAUGGGAUCAGUGAAAGAGGCCUGAUGUGAGGGUGACACAGGCUUAAACUGAGACAAUCCAGCAUGGAACACUUGCAGGAAGUACUAGGAAAGUGCAUUUUCUUUCCAUGAGGGUUGCCAAACUGGAAGCAUGUUAGCUAAAGCUACCUGUAGUCAUUUUGUGGCCACAUUGGGUGAGAUUGUCUGAGAAAGCAAACCAACUGAAGCAGAGCAGAGAAGAUACUCUACCAACCUAGUUGGAGCCCUGGUUCCAGCCUUGCCUGAAGCUAAAUGCACCUCUAUGCUUCCUUUUUACUGACCCAAUAAAUUUCCCUAUUUGUUUAAACAA